UACAGAGGGGGCAAGCGUUGUUCGGAAUUACUGGGCGUAAAGGGCGCGUAGGCGGCCUUCUAAGUCGAACGUGAAAUCCCUGGGCUCAACCCAGGAACUGCGUCCGAUACUGGAAGGCUUGAAUCCGGGAGAGGGAUGCGGAAUUCCAGGUGUAGCGGUGAAAUUCGUAGAUAUUCGCAAGAACACCAGUGGCGAAGGCGGCUCACUGGCCCGAUACUGACGCUGAGGUGCGAAAGCGUGGGGAGCAAACAGG
Molecule: ribosomal RNA, 253 nt
Filed under: uncultured bacterium
Lineage: Bacteria
Description: partial 16S ribosomal RNA
Rfam family: Bacterial small subunit ribosomal RNA
Source: RNAcentral